RNAcentral lists this ribosomal RNA (384 nucleotides) under uncultured eukaryote. Its description in RNAcentral is "partial 18S ribosomal RNA". It matches the Rfam family "Eukaryotic small subunit ribosomal RNA", at positions 592 to 976 of the family's 1831-position model. The record is from RNAcentral.
CAAUAGCAUAUAUGAAUGUUGUUGCAGUUAAAACGCUCGUAGUCGAUAACGUCAGCUACACUAGUUCAAUCUGGUGAUUGGCAGGACCAAGUAUCACAACGUAAGAGGGCUCCUAGAGUCUUGGUUGACAGAUGAAUUUUUCAUUUCAAAGAUUCAGAGUCAUUACCUUGAAUGAAACAGAGUUCUCAAAGCAGUGCUUUUGCACAGUGAAUGAUCAAGCAUGGGAUAAUACAUACCACUAUAUGUGUUGGUACUAUUCACCAAUUCUACAAGUGAUUAAUAGGAACAGUUGAGGGUUCUAGUACUGAAUGGCGAGAGGUGAAAUUCUUAGACCCAUUCAAGACUACCUAAGGCGAAAGCAUUUACCAAGGAUGUUUUCUUUGA